This 869-nucleotide unclassified non-coding RNA is filed under the name Hevea brasiliensis (rubber tree). The record is from RNAcentral. Lineage: Eukaryota; Viridiplantae; Streptophyta; Magnoliopsida; Malpighiales; Euphorbiaceae.
UGUAGCACAGAACUGAAUCACACUGAAAUUGCAAAAACCAAAUAAAUUUUUGCAUCAUUAAGUUCCCAGUAAAGCUAUAAUUACAAUUCCUCCCACAUUUACCAAACAAAACAGUUCAUCUGCCAAAAAUAAACAUCAUUCCAAAAGGAAUAAAAGACCAAAAAAAAAGUGAGAAGAUGUUUGCUUCAACAUCAAUAGCUGGUGACAAAGCAAUGCAUUUAAAAUGUUAUUGGCAAAUCUACUCCUAAAUGCUUGGUUAACAGGUGAAAGAGUUGUGAAAUGGAUCCAGAAGAUUGGCACUGGACAUAUUGGCCAAGUGCUGCCUACCCCCAAUCCUUGAUUAGAGGUCAAGGGGAGUUCAAGCGUUCAGUUCUCAUUCAGGAGGGUCAAGACUCGAGAGUUUUAGCGGUCAAGGAUGGGGGACAAGGAAUGAAAAGGGUACCUAUUGCCAAUAGUUAAAAGAAAUGCGUAGGAGGGAUUCAUAAUAACAUCAUUUAGUCAGAGUGUCCACACUUUUAAAUGUCACCUUAGAUAAUAAAUCACAACAAUUGCUAGUUUUGGCCACAUCAUACGUCAUCACACCAAUUGUGGCAAAGAUGAGCCUUUUAAGGGAAUAAGAUGCAAACCUAAUGGAGCAUAGAAGAAUGAGUGCAACGUUGAAAAGAAAGGAGUUCAUUAGAGUUGCUCCCCACCUGUAAGACAAGUCCACUCAAUAAUAUAAAUAAGCCAUCAAAAGAUUAAAAUAAAAAAUAAAAUCUGCCAACAAAUGAUUACAUAAACACAGUGCAUGCUAAAAUUAAUAUUAAAAUAAAAACAGUUAUCUCCUCAUAAUUUAUUACUUCAUAGGAUGAAUUGUGAUGAAAACUAAU